GUUUGGAUCUGAAGAUAGGGUCAGAACAGUUUGUUUGAGCCAUCGAUUGUUCUUCGCAAUGGGAGGUGGAACGAUUAAAGUGCACAUGAGCUUCAAUCUAUGAAACUUCAAAUCAAUUUUCCGCGAUUAACCAUACAGUGAAUGAGAUUUGAGGCAACAGUCAUAGGGAUUUGAGGAUUUGAAGUAACCAACGUAGAGGAAUUUGGUGGUGAACGGCAUAAUCAAACUCGAAGGGUUUCGUUUCUUCGUCAUCUUCCCGAACUCGAAGCAAGGACGCCACACUCAAACCUAAAGUUUUAGUUUCUCUGUGUCAAUUAGUUUUUUUUUUUUUAUAAGCUCUGAGUCAAUUAGUUUAGUUUU
Molecule: long non-coding RNA, 360 nt
Filed under: Trifolium pratense (red clover)
Lineage: Eukaryota; Viridiplantae; Streptophyta; Magnoliopsida; Fabales; Fabaceae
Description: long non-coding RNA (TPRA_LNC000741)
Source: RNAcentral